Molecule: small nuclear RNA, 129 nt
Filed under: Eurypyga helias (sunbittern)
Lineage: Eukaryota; Metazoa; Chordata; Aves; Eurypygiformes; Eurypygidae
Description: U1 spliceosomal RNA
Rfam family: U1 spliceosomal RNA
About the family: U1 is a small nuclear RNA (snRNA) component of the spliceosome (involved in pre-mRNA splicing). Its 5' end forms complementary base pairs with the 5' splice junction, thus defining the 5' donor site of an intron.
Source: Rfam by way of RNAcentral
AUACUUACCUUGCAGGGGAGACACCAUGAUCAGGCAGGUGGUUUUCCCAGGGAGAGGCUCAUCCUUUGCAGUCCAGGUGUGCUGACCCCUGCAAUUUCCCCAAAUGUGGGAAACUCGACAUUUCUUUUC